This 253-nucleotide ribosomal RNA is filed under the name uncultured bacterium. Its description in RNAcentral is "partial 16S ribosomal RNA". It matches the Rfam family "Bacterial small subunit ribosomal RNA", at positions 524 to 776 of the family's 1533-position model. The record is from RNAcentral.
UACGUAGGGGGCAAGCGUUGUCCGGAUUUAUUGGGCGUAAAGAGCGUGUAGGCGGUUUGGUAGGUCCGUUGUGAAAACUCGAGGCUCAACCUCGAGACGCCGAUGGAAACCAUCAGACUAGAGUCCGGAAGAGGAGAGUGGAAUUCCUGGUGUAGCAGUGAAAUGCGUAGAUAUCAGGAGGAAUACCGAUGGCGAAGGCAGGUCUCUGGGCUGACACUGACGCUCAUGCACGAAAGCGUGGGGAGCAAACAGG